Molecule: transfer RNA, 74 nt
Filed under: Nephromyces sp. ex Molgula occidentalis
Lineage: Eukaryota; Apicomplexa; Aconoidasida; Nephromycida
Description: tRNA-Asp
Rfam family: tRNA
About the family: Transfer RNA (tRNA) molecules are approximately 80 nucleotides in length. Their secondary structure includes four short double-helical elements and three loops (D, anti-codon, and T loops).
Source: RNAcentral
GAGAUUAUAAUUUAAAAGGUUAAAAUAUCAUUUUGUCAAAAUGAUUAUUACGGGUUCAAAUCCCGUUAAUCUCG